UGUUCUGUGGCUUAGUUGGUUAAAGCGCCGGUCUAGCGAAUACGGAGUCGUGGGUUCGAAUCCCACCAUAACGC
Molecule: non-coding RNA, 74 nt
Organism: Aedes albopictus (Asian tiger mosquito)
Lineage: Eukaryota; Metazoa; Arthropoda; Insecta; Diptera; Culicidae
Source: Rfam